This 502-nucleotide ribosomal RNA is filed under the name uncultured Glomeromycotina. Its description in RNAcentral is "partial small subunit ribosomal RNA". It matches the Rfam family "Eukaryotic small subunit ribosomal RNA", at positions 591 to 1092 of the family's 1831-position model. Lineage: Eukaryota; Fungi; Glomeromycota. The record is from RNAcentral.
CCAAUAGCGUAUAUUAAAGUUGUUGCAGUUAAAAAGCUCGUAGUUGAACUUCGGGGUCUACCCAUUGGUCAGGCUUAAUUUUCUGCACUGGUGAGAUGGAUCUCUACUUUCUGAGGAACUUUCAUGCCAUUUAUUUAGUGUGAUUGGAAAUCAGGACUGUUACUUUGAAAAAAUUAGAGUGUUUAAAGCAGACUAUCGUCUGAAUACAUUAGCAUGGAAUAAUGAAAUAGUGCGGACUGAUUCUAUUUCGUUGGUUUCUAGGAUCACCGUAAUGAUUAAUAGGGAUAGUUGGGGGCAUUAGUAUUCAAUUGUCAGAGGUGAAAUUCUUGGAUUUAUUGAAGACUAACUACUGCGAAAGCAUUUGCCAAGGAUGUUUUCAUUAAUCAAGAACGAAAGUUAGGGGAUCGAAGACGAUCAGAUACCGUCGUAGUCUUAACCAUAAACUAUGCCGACUAGGGAUCGGACGAAGUUAAUUUUAUAAUGACGCGUUCGGCACCUUACG